UGGCUGAGCCGCGGCCUCCAGCCGCGCCCACCCAGGCGGAGCGGGCCCGCUGGCCGUGGAAGGAGAAGCCCCGGGGGCAGAGUACAGGAGGCGGGGAAGUGCGGGGAGAAGCUGGGCAGGUCAGGGGAGGGUGAGGACGCCUCCCUGCCCGCGGCUGACGGCCGAGCGCCCCUGGGAGACCCAGGAAAACAGUGGCCGCCAACAUGGCCUCGGCCCCUCCUCAAUAACAUCUUCAACUGCGGACGCUGCGGAGGACGGGGGUCAGCCAGGGCGGGGGUGGCGCCACGCGAGGAGCCGCCACCUCUGAGAGGGGUGGAGAGGUCGGGCAGCGCACGCAGGUGAGAACCCGGAGCCCCCGCCCAGAUGGGGUGUCCCUGUAUUCCCAGAAUGUGUCUUGCAAAAGGGCAACCUCCACCCGCCCGCCAGAGCCCCCCAUCUGGUUCCAGAAAUGCCCAGUAAGGACAGUCCUCCUGUCAAAGAAGCGCCUUGUAGAGCCCGAAUAUCCUCCCCACGGCCCACACGGGCUCACACCCCGCACCUGAUGCAUACGCCCGCGGUGUCAGCCCAGCCUCCGAUAUUUUAUUAGUAAUGCCAGGAAGCAGAAAGUAAAUUAUUUUAAUAAAAGAAAGACCAAGUACUUGUCACCUCGUCGUGUUGAAGAAAUCCUCUAGCCCGGGAUGGAGCCAGCCUGCCCAGGGUGUCAGGUAGAGUGUACCAAUGAUGUUCCUGAUGCUGGUUUUCAUGGAAAGUCUUGUAGAGUUAUCCUUUCAGAAGGCUCAGGUAACCGCACCAGGAUGAAGUCCAGAUCCCAGCACCUCUUAACAAGUUUCUGUCAUGGACUGUGCAUAUGUGGGGAUGGACCCAACUUACAUUUCUGGAGGACUGUAGUGCAAGGAGGGGAUUGAUACCGGAAUUGUCAGGCCUAGUCUCCCAGCCAGGAACAGAUCCCAGGCUGCAGGGCAGCGCUGAGCCCCAGCCACUGGACCCCCACGGGUUGGUGUCUCACGAAGCCGCAGCAGGAACUUCGCAGACGCUCAGGCAAGCAAGCGAGAAGAGGCAGAUUUGUUUAUAGAAAGAAAAAGUUUAUUGAGGAGAAAAAGAGCAGAAAUAAAGUGGGACUCCCAGGCCAGGGAACCAGGCCUGGGAGGGGCAAGGAAGCCAAAGUGGAGUCGUGUCUCAGGGAAUAUAUACCUUAUUUCCCUCAUUAUUCUAAAGUUCCACCAGUCUCUUUGUGAUUGCUUAGUUCUCGGCUGUCUCACUUAAUCUGCUACUGAGUGGGGAUCUUUACUUUCCUUAUCUAACAGCUUUUUCUUUCCCCAUUUGUUGCAUCUUUAAAUUUAUGGCCCAGUCUUCUGGAUGGGCAUCCCUGCAUUGAAGUUAAACAGCUGCCCUUCUAAUGUGUCCAUAAAUUAAACCACUCUCCAUUUCUCCAAUCUCCGCCUCCCUUUACCACCUGAAGGAAACCAGGACUAGCAUUAACAAUGUUGUCCUUGGUCUUGGGAUGUUUGUUUUUCCUAGUGGAAUGAGUUACUUUCCCUUGGUUGUCCUUAUCUCUGAAGCCUCCCCAAAUUCUUCAGAGGUCCCCUCCUGCACUGUCCCUGAAACUGCCUAACAACCCUAGCUUGCCCUGUCUCAGGAUGAAAUAACACAUUCAGAAUAGAGAUAAAAUAUACGGGUCACAAAUAUCCUAACCUGCAGGAUUCUCCUACAGAGACAAGAGAGUAAAAAUGUUCUUCCCAAACAAAAGCUGAAGAAGUGGUCCACUAACAAAUCUUCCCUGAAAGAAAUGUUUAAAAGAGAUCCCUUGUAUAAUUUAAAGAGAAAAGAAAAAAAAAAAGAAAAAAGAAAAAGCUGAGCAGGGAAGUAGAACCAGACAACUAAAGUGAAAGUGGCAGUAGAAGAUCCUCUAUAGAGCUCAACAAUCCAAAGGCAGAGAGAGGCCAUCCAAAGGCAGAGAGAGGCCAGCCAAGAUUGCACAGUCCCCAGGAGACCCGUCUGAGCCCCCAAAAUAAACACAGGCUCCUGGCUCAAGGCUGAAUAUUACACCAAACCACAGGACAGACACAGGGAUGUCAGAGUCUGGGCCAAAGUGUAUUGUGCUGCACCAUGAUGUGCAAUGAGAAACAUUCUAUGUGGAGCCGAGAGCCUUCAUUUUUCUCACAAUGUAUUUUGAAUAGCAGCUGCUUUGUAAUGUUUGCACUAGGAUCCAUUUCCAGAUCUGCAGGUAAAUGAUGUUUUAGUCGUGCUUUUAUUUAAUUUUUUUAAGAUUUAUUUAUUUUUAUACAAGAACCAGGGUACAGGCCAGAUGCACUGGAGGGUGAGAGGAUUCACCAGAGACAGAGCGGGGAACAGAACAGGCAGACUGACGAAAUAUACACUGCUGAAGGGAGCAGCAGGCAAGACAGGAGAGGUCUGUUGCGCCAUGUGGGAGUCUCGCCAGCCGACCAGGAUUGAACCGGCGCUGCAGAGGCUGCGGACAGCCUCACAGUGCGGCGCUCAACCACCUGUGCCACCAGGAAGGCCAAUUUUUACUUAUUUUUUUAAACAGAUUUCUUUACUUAUGAACAUAAGAGCUGGGGUGCAGCCAGAGGUGCGGGGGUGGGGGUAAGGGGAUUCACCAGAGACAGAGUGGGGAACAGAACAGGUGGACUGUCUGCAAUCCACUGCUGAGGGGAGCAGCGGGGAGACAGGAGAGGUCUGCGGCACCCUGCGGGUCACCUUCCCGGCUGGGGAUGUGAUGUUGGCACCAGAUGACGUGACGAGUCCCUUCAUGGUCGCCAAAAUGUUGUAGGUUGUAGAGUGUGUGCGGGUCCCGGGGGUCACUCUGGGAAAGGUGCCCCCAGAGCUCCCAUUACAGCAGGACACAGCGAGUUCCCCAGCCACGUUUCUCCACGAGACAGAGACACUAGUUACAUUAAAGGGCAGAUUUAGGGCCUCCCCUGCUGGCACAGCGGUUGAGCGCUGGGCUGAGGGGCUGCCCGCAGCCUCUGCAGCGCCUGUUCGUUCCCUGGCCGCUGGCGAGGGUCCCACAAAAAAACAAAACCAAAAACAGGGCAGGUUUAUGAGGGAAAGGGAAAGGGACAGGUUUUGCUGAAAGAGGCCUGCAUGGUUGCAGGCGGGCGGCCUUGACAGGUCACGGCAGGCAGGAGGCUGCUGCCCUGCGGAGGGAGAGAGUUGGUGAGAAGAGGCACCUGCAUAGUCACGGGUGGGCAGAUGGACGGCUGCCCCGAGCCCGUGCAGAGACUGCCCUGAUACAGCCCUUUUCUCUUUGGGAGGGUCACUCCUCCGUGGAGUGGCUGCUUGUUGCUGAUGUCGGUUAACAGGCAACACUAGAAAGGGACCAGAGAUUCCAGGGUGGGCCCAAUCUCCAUAUCCUUCCCCUCAGGCCUGUGCGCCACUCCCUAGCGCAUCGGAUCCUGCUCACGUCUCCUGCCUUGUGACAAGGCACUGGCGUCUAAGGGUCCAACCUCCACAGCUGGGUUAAUGGUCCUGUUAUUCCCCUCGACCCCCACCUCCUCGCGUGAGUCAGGUUUUCGUCACGUGAGGCCUCCCUUUCCAGUCUUUCCAUUCUUGCCCUCCAUCAGAUGGAACACGUGCAGCAGAGGCUGCAGAUGGCUUCACAGUGCUGUGCUUAAUCCCUGCGCCAUCAGAGAGGCCCCACGCCUUGCUUUUAUGUCAGCUUCAGGGUCUGGCUGCGGCAGACACUGUCGGUGAAAGGCUGGAAGUCCUGGAGCUUGCAACAGACCUGCCUGUGCCUUCUGCCCCAGCCCGCCUGCCCCAGCCCACUGUGACCUGCUGAGACAGGGCAAGCUAGGGUUAUUAGGCAGUUUUAGGGACAGUGCAGGAGGGGACCUCUGAGGAAUUUAGGGAGGCUUCAGAGAUAAGGACAACCAAAGAAAUAUAACCAAUUCCAUUAGGAAAAACAAACAUGCCAGGACCAAGGACAACAUUGUUAAUGCUGGUCCUGGUUUCCUUCAGGUGGUAAAGGGAGGCGGAGAUUGGAGAAAUGGAGAGUGGUUUAAUUUAUGGUCACAUUAGAAGGGCAGCUGUUUAACUUCAAUGCAGGGAUGCCCAUCCAGAAGACUGGGCCAUAAAUUUAAAGAUGCAACAAAUGGGGAAAGAGAAAGCUGUUAGAUAAGGAACGUGAAGAUCCCCCUACUCAGUAGCAAAUUAAGUAAGACAGCCGAGAGCUAACCAAUCACAAAGAGACUGGGGCAGCUUUAGAAUAAUGAGGGAAAAAAGGUAUAUAUUCCCUAAGACACGACUCCACUUUGGCUUCCUUGCCCCUCCCAGGCCUGGUUCCCUGGCCUGGGAGUCCCACUUUAUUUCUGUUCUUUUUCUCCUCAAUAAACUUUUUCUUUUUCUAAACAAACUGCCUCUUCUCGCUUGCUUGCCUGAGCGUCUGCGAAGUUCCUGCUGCGGCUUCGUGAGACACCAACCCGUCGGGGGUCUAGCGGCUGGGGCUCAGCACUGCCCUGCAGCCUGGAAUCCGUUCCUGGCUGGGAGACUAGACCUGACAAUUCCGGUAUCAUUGCUCAUUAGCUGGAGUUAUGUUGGGACAAGGCCUGGGGGUGGACUAAAAGUUUCAGGAAGUGACUGGCCAGGAGCCUGACUUGUGCCCCCCAGAUGACCAGGUGAGCUCUUAGAAGUCUCCUGCUUCUCUACUCCCUGCUUGCUUCAAGUUGCAAAUGUGCCCCUGCUGGGGCCAUGGGUACUCUGUCGCCCAAUGGCUCAGGGCUCAGACUUUGGAAAAAGAUCACCUCUGGGCCUGCGGGAUAAAUAAAGAUGAAAUUUUUCCAUAACCUCUCACAAUCUAAAAAUCAAAAGGUAGAAGGUCCUAACUCUAAAUGCAAAUAAAGCGAGAUGUGUUAAGAAUUGUAUAUAAAACAGGGCCUCCCUUGGUGGUGUAGGCGGUUGAGCACAGCGCUGUGAAGCUGUCUACAGCCUCUGCAGCACCAGUUCGAUCCCAGCUGGCCAGAGAAGGUUCCACAUAUGGCACAGCAGACCUCUCGUGUCAUGCCCGCUGCUCCCCUCAGAGUGCAUUUCAGUCAGUCAGUCUGCCUGUUCUGUUCCCCACUCUGUCUCUGAUGAAUCCUCUCACCCCCCACAUCUCUGGCCUGUACCCCAGUUCUUGUGUGCAUAAAUAAGUAAAUCUUAAAAGAUUAUUUAUGCACUCAAGAACUGGGUUGUAAGCCAGACAUGGGCGUUGUGUUAGAGAGGUUUCACCAGAGACAGAGUUGGGGGCAGAACAGACAAACUGACUGAAACACACUGCUGAGGGGCGCAGCCGGGAGACAGGAGGGGUCUGCGCGUCAUGUGGGCUGCUCCAAGGCCGGCGGGAUUGACCCGGCGCUGCGGAGGCUGCGGACAGCUCCACAGGCUGCGCCCAACCCACUGCGCCACUGGGGAGGCCCUAAAAUACAUUUUCAAUGGAAAUAGUAAUUUUAAUUUUGGAAAUGACCUAAGGAAAUGCUUUCAAAUUCUGAUAAAUCUGUAUGUGUAACAAUGUUCAAUAACACUUUAUUUACAGUAAAAUGAUUCAAAACUAUCCAAAUAAAACCCCCCAAUAUACACAAAAUUAAAUGUAAAAGCUAGAUACAGUAACACUGAACAGUCUUUAAUGGCGUGGAAAGUCCUUAUGUUAGUGUUAAAUGUUGAAAGUGGAGAAUCCUGGCAGUGCUGUGAUCCCACCACAGAAGAAACAUAUUAAUGACACACCCUCUCCUUACCCC
Talpa occidentalis (Iberian mole) is the source of this 5732-nucleotide long non-coding RNA. RefSeq lists it as uncharacterized. Lineage: Eukaryota; Metazoa; Chordata; Mammalia; Eulipotyphla; Talpidae. The transcript has 5 exons. The record is from RefSeq and is a predicted model, not a curated record.